GUCCGCACUGUAAACGAUGAUUACUCGCUGCUAGGGGGCAACUCUUAGUGGCUUAGCGAAAGCGAUAAGUAAUCCACCUGGGGAGUACGCCGGCAACGGUGAAACUCAAAGGAAUUGACGGGGGCCCGCACAAGCGGAGGAGCAUGUGGUUUAAUUCGAUGAUACGCGAGGAACCUUACCAGGGCUUGAAAGUUAGUGACCGUCUCUGAAAGGAGACUUUCCGCAAGGACACGAAACUAGGUGCUGCAUGGCUGUCGU
RNAcentral lists this ribosomal RNA (258 nucleotides) under uncultured bacterium. RNAcentral's name for it is "partial 16S ribosomal RNA". It matches the Rfam family "Bacterial small subunit ribosomal RNA", at positions 793 to 1055 of the family's 1533-position model. The record is from RNAcentral.